GUCCCCUCUCGCUAGGACGCUAGCGCCAUCUUCUGAAAUGUAAUUGACAGUAGCUGGUCAUCAUCUGCAGCUGUUGCUGUGAAGAAGACGGAGUCUGAAUCAGAAUCCAGUUGGUGCUGCUCAGGUUUUGGCUUGUGACACUUCUUCACUUGUUGGGGCACGGUCUGGAGUACGCUUCUUCUCUAGUUUAGGUGUGAUGUCUUUGGGAUGUCUUCCUCCCCAGCUUCCUUGGCCUUGACCACGUGGGUUGCAAGUAGUUUAGUUUAGUUUACACGCGCAGACGUAAUAGAUGCCAAGCUCCCGCAGAGUAUACGUAGAUCGUGCUUGUGCGGAAGUCAGUAGUGUGUUUGAGAUGAUCGGCGCCAGGGAAAAGGCGCCUGAGAUGAGGGCGAACGCUGAUUUUCAGCAAGACUGAACGAGAACAAGAACAUUUGAUUAAAAAAUGUCUCUCCCCUUUAAAGUGAUCUAUUCUAUUAUCUAUUUCAUUGUUUUUUAAUGUUUGUAUUUUUUAGAGCUGGGAAUUGGAAAAAAAAAAAAAAAAAAAAAA
Long non-coding RNA from Oryzias melastigma (Indian medaka), 547 nucleotides. RefSeq lists it as uncharacterized. The record is from RefSeq and is a predicted model, not a curated record. The transcript is spliced from 2 exons. Lineage: Eukaryota; Metazoa; Chordata; Actinopteri; Beloniformes; Adrianichthyidae.